RNAcentral lists this ribosomal RNA (404 nucleotides) under uncultured bacterium. RNAcentral's name for it is "bacterial SSU rRNA". It matches the Rfam family "Bacterial small subunit ribosomal RNA", at positions 355 to 776 of the family's 1533-position model. RNAcentral also lists the same sequence under 2 other names. The record is from RNAcentral.
UGGGGAAUCUUGCGCAAUGGGCGAAAGCCUGACGCAGCCAUGCCGCGUGUAUGAUGAAGGUCUUAGGAUUGUAAAAUACUUUCACCGGGGAAGAUAAUGACGGUACCCGGAGAAGAAGCCCCGGCUAACUUCGUGCCAGCAGCCGCGGUAAUACGAAGGGGGCUAGCGUUGCUCGGAAUUACUGGGCGUAAAGGGCGCGUAGGCGGACAGUUUAGUCAGAGGUGAAAGCCCAGGGCUCAACCUUGGAAUUGCCUUUGAUACUGGCUGUCUUGAGUUCGGGAGAGGUGAGUGGAAUGCCGAGUGUAGAGGUGAAAUUCGUAGAUAUUCGGCGGAACACCAGUGGCGAAGGCGACUCACUGGCCCGAUACUGACGCUGAGGCGCGAAAGCGUGGGGAGCAAACAGG